This 205-nucleotide unclassified non-coding RNA is filed under the name Hevea brasiliensis (rubber tree). The record is from RNAcentral. Lineage: Eukaryota; Viridiplantae; Streptophyta; Magnoliopsida; Malpighiales; Euphorbiaceae.
GGUAAAAUAUUUUUUGAAUUCACCUCCUUCAAACCACCAUAUUUUGGUAAAAUGUUUUCAAAAUUACAUAUUCUCCUUAAUUGAAUUUUCUUUUAAUAUAUUUUGGUCAAUAGCCAGGAGAAUAGACUUAGAAAUCCUCCUAAUGAAAACUACUAUUAUUUUAACUAUAGCUUGGUUGUAGUUAGUAGUAAAAACCUAUUAAUGU